This 253-nucleotide ribosomal RNA is filed under the name uncultured bacterium. RNAcentral's name for it is "partial 16S ribosomal RNA". It matches the Rfam family "Bacterial small subunit ribosomal RNA", at positions 524 to 776 of the family's 1533-position model. The record is from RNAcentral.
UACGGGGGGGGCAAGCGUUGUUCGGAAUUACUGGGCGUAAAGGGCUCGUAGGUGGCCAACUAAGUCAGACGUGAAAUCCCUCGGCUUAACCGGGGAACUGCGUCUGAUACUGGAUGGCUUGAGUUCGGGAGAGGGAUGCGGAAUUCCAGGUGUAGCGGUGAAAUGCGUAGAUAUCUGGAGGAACACCGGUGGCGAAGGCGACUACCUGGCCUGUUCUUGACGCUGAGGCGCGAAAGCUAGGGGAGCAAACGGG